Thalassophryne amazonica is the source of this 95-nucleotide long non-coding RNA. RefSeq lists it as uncharacterized. The transcript has 3 exons. The record is from RefSeq and is a predicted model, not a curated record. Lineage: Eukaryota; Metazoa; Chordata; Actinopteri; Batrachoidiformes; Batrachoididae.
GACAAGCAAUAUGGAACUUUUCUGAAAUGAUGAUGUCAUAGCCCCACCUCUCUAACAUCAGCCACUCAUAAUGAAUGACAUGUUAACAGCUUAAU